Thunnus maccoyii (southern bluefin tuna) is the source of this 3772-nucleotide long non-coding RNA. RefSeq lists it as uncharacterized. The transcript is spliced from 7 exons. Lineage: Eukaryota; Metazoa; Chordata; Actinopteri; Scombriformes; Scombridae. The record is from RefSeq and is a predicted model, not a curated record.
ACAAAAGCAGUACUAAAAUUACUUUAAAUUUUUCAAAAGCAUGUGAUGACUUACUGGCACACUCGUCACCACCAGAUGAGUCAUUUCACAGCCAACUCAGAAAUCCACAAUUUACCACCACACACACUAAUUUUGAUAGUGGAGUAUUCAUUUAAGUUCUUUAAGUAAAAAUACAUUUGAUUGAUAGAGAUUCACAAAUGCUAAGAAUUGCUUGCUUUUCUCAGAUUCAUAUAGCAAUAAAAUGAAACCUUUGGGGUUUUUUUAGCUGCUUGUUUAAUAGGGUGAUUCAGAAUAUAAGGAAAACAACACCUCUGUAUUAAAAAGGAUUUACUUUUUAAACAUUUGUUUUGCAAACAUCUCUGUAAUAAAAUACAGGGAACGGGUACCGUUUUAAAUAUUUAUUUCUCCCAUCACAUCUGUAGUAAAUACAUGGAACUAUUAACAUUUUGAGAACUAGCUGUUUUGAGCAGUCUUGUCAAGGAGAUUUGUGAAAUCAAAGGAGAAUUGUUUUGGCCAUGCGUUUGUAAAUGUUAAAGACAUUUCUAUGAUCAGUUGGGAUGUCCCUUUCAAUGGACAACAGAAGAAGAUCUGACAGUCUCUGUUUCUAAGCUGGGUCUUGAUCAGCUUCAAUUUGGAGAACGAUCAGUCGACUGAUGCAGUUAACACUGGCAAUGGAGCAUUUAUUUGAGGAGUUUUGUCUGUUAGCAGGGCUACUCAAAGUGUUCUCUUCCACAUUUCAUGACAGUUUCAUGACAAGAUACAUUAGGAAAGGACAGGAAAAAUGUAAAACUUGUUUAACAUGCCCAGGCAGAGGUUUAAGUCCUACUGGGCAUUCCAUCUAAUUACUAAUGGCUAAUGCAAACAUACUUCAUCUCUCUCAUCUCCUCCCUUAAGCCUCUAGCUGUAUUUUGCAGAUCCCUUUAUAUUGUCUUCAAUGUUCUGUCUCUUCUUGGCAUUCUCUACAAGUGCAAGUUAAUCCAAGCUAAAGGGUUGUAAACACAUUUUGAAUAAAGAAUACUCUAAUGAUUUCCUUUACAGGUUUUAUUAUACAGCAAAAGGUUGAUUUCCAGUUUGUGCCAAAUAUUUAAUACACAGUUGGCUAAGUAGGCUAUGUAUCUAAUUAACCAGCUUUUACCCCUCUAGCAUAUUGUUUAGCAUGUUCGCAUGUUGGACAGGCCUGCAUAUAAAACCGACUCAGAAAAUACAGUCUACAUACAUCAGUAAUGCAUCAUUAAUCAAAUUUAAUCCAUACACUCAUUUUAAUUGCAAAAAGCCUUACUAUGCGACCUAUCUCACAAACUGUAGUAGUAUCAAGGUUGCAGCUUAGACUGCACUGACCCAAAGACAAUAGAAUAAUCUAUGGGGGUGUGACUGAGCAAGCUAGUGAGUAGUGCUGUAUCAAAAUCAACUGAAUGGAAUAAUGUCAGCUACAACAACCACAACAUGUUUUUAAGGGUGCUUUAUUUUCCUAAUGGUCAGCUAACAUAAAGGAUACAUCCAUUUCUACCCUAACGGCGAGUUUACUCGAUUAUAAAUGCAUCUUAUAGGGCAAGUAUCUCAUUUUCUUCACUGGAAGGGCACUUCACAAUGUUUUUCUCCCACAGAAGGCACCCUAAAGGGACCACAACAGCAACUCAUAGGGCACAGCAUUACAUCUUGUUGGGGUAUUUUACAAGCCUUCUGAGAGAAAAAAAUGGCAGACAGUAAAUUGAGUAACCUCAUGAGGGUAACCUCAUCAUCUGCCUGUGACAAGAGCCCCUCCCAACUCCCCAGAAAAUAUAAGUUCCUGAAGGUUCUGGGAGAGGGCAGCUUUGGAAAGGUGCUGAAAUGUUUGAAAAAAGACACUAAAGACAUUGUGGCUGUAAAUAUCCCCAAACACUUAGACGAUGGCACUGCCAGCAAGGAGUUUUCCAUGUUGCAGAUCUUAACGCACCACAACUUGGGCCAGUGCAAUAUUGUCAAGUUUUUUGAUUGGUUUGAAAUGAAGUGUUGAAAGUCUUCCAGAUGUUGGAUAUCAGCUUAGAAGACAACAUUCAGUUGUAUUACCCAAUUCAUCUGGUAACAUCAGAGUCAUCCAACAGGUGGCCAAAGCAUUCGACACACUGAAGAGCAUCAGAGUGAUCUAUACUGGAUACGUCCCUUCAGAAAGAAUCUGAAAGACUUUGGCUUGGCCAUACCAAGUUUUACUAUAAGUAGCUGUGUGCUUCCUGUCCAUAGUUUCUGUUUAUUCAGUUUGUCCUUGUGCUAGAUUGUAUUUUUUAUCCUUAAAAUAUGACAGUGUUCCUCAUUCUGUGUAACGCUUUUCUUCCACAUUCAGGUCUCCAGAAAUAAUUUUGGGCCUUUCAUUUUCUGAGGCCACUGAUAUGUGGUCAGUUGGAUGUGUGAUGGUCGCCAUGAGCCUCAGUUAUCCACUGUUCCCGGGGGAAGAUGAAUAUGAAGCACUGUGAUUCAUUGUUGAACUCCUGGGGUCAGCCAGCAAACCAUCUUCUGAAUAAUGGGAGAAAAACAUUCUGGUAUUUCAACAGGACUGACUUUAACGGCUGGAGGCUCAAGACACCUCAGGAGUACUGGGGAAAAAUAUUGUCCCUCACAAAGACAUUCCUCUCUGGAUUAUCUGAAACAGCAAUGAAGCUUCAGAGUCAGCAGCCACUCAACCCUUCAGGCGCCAGGCCCAGACCAGGUCCAAAAAGCCCAUGGAGAAGACCAGUUUUGAUGAGAGCUAGGUGUUAACUCAUCCUUGUCUUCUCUAGAGGAGUGUGUGGUACAGAGGCAACACUUCCUGCUUUUACCAGAUUAAGUCCUCUUUUUGGCUUAACACAAACUGAUAGCAGACCAUAUGUCGCUUUCAUCAACAUACUUUUGACAUAAACCAUCCAUGAACCUAUUGUUUUAGAGCAGUCAAGUUAUUUCCAGGGUCUGAAAUUCCAGAUGUAAAAGUCCUGUUCAUUUUUUGCAUGGACAAGCUGGCUGAUAUUUGGGACUGAGCUCUGCAGUGGCACUCUCAUGCUGACUGGCUUCUCUACUGUAGAAACGGCAGCUGAGGCUCAUGGGUAUUGUAGUGUGUAAAGCCAUUCACUACUACUUGGCCAUUUCUAAUUUUUAAAUGUCUGACCUGCCGAUUCCAGUGUCACACUGUGUGAGCGACGUGCACAUUGUGUGUGUGUGUGGGGCUGUACUGUCUGUGUGCUGUGUGUGCAAUGUGCAUGUUUUGUGUGUGUUGUCUGUGCUGUAGCAGCUGUGUACGUGAAGCAAAGUGCAGCUGGCAAAAAAUCAGAUUUAUGAGACUGACUGGGGCCAGUCACUCGUCAUGGCCGAUUAGCUGAUAAACAGCCGAUUUUGAUCGGCGGGCAGAUCGAUUGGUGCAUCUCUAUUUGGAUUCUAUUAUUUUAGAUACAAGGAUGGUUCCCUCUUUACAACGAUCUCUCCUUUCAUCCAGCUGCUCAGCACUGUGCUUUCUCUGUCUGCAAUCUAUUAUUGUGCUCAUGCUUACUUAUAAAAAGCUGAUUAAAAAAGAAAUAGAUUGGUUACGCAUAUAUAUGGCAGAGAAAUUGGUGUUGUCCAGGGAAUAAAAUCUACCUGUGGAAACCACGUUUUUGGUGAAAUAAAAUAAAAUUGAAAUAAAAAUAAGCUAAAAUAGAAUAAGACAGAUAAAAUAUAGGAAUAAAAUUUACAGUGCAGCACAAAAAAUUAAUCAAGAGCCUCAAAUUUGAUUUAAUAAAAGGCAGUGGCAGCCUUGAUUUAAAAGAACUGAGAGUUGCAGCAGACUUGCAGU